GACGAACGCUGGCGGCGUGCUUAACACAUGCAAGUCGAACGGGAUCCGGGCUUUCGGGUUUGGUGAGAGUGGCGAACGGGUGAGUAACACGUGAGUAACCUGCCCCCUUCUUUGGGAUAACGUCGGGAAAUCGGCGCUAAUACUGGAUAUUCUUGCUGCAUCGCAUGGUGUGGUUUGGAAAGGGUUUCUGGUGGGGGAUAGGCUCGCGGCCUAUCAGCUUGUUGGUGGGGUGAUGGCCUACCAAGGCUUUGACGGGUAGCCGGCCUGAGAGGGUGUCCGGCCACACUGGGACUGAGACACGGCCCAGACUCCUACGGGAGGCAGCAGUGGGGAAUAUUACACAAUGGGCGCAAGCCUGAUGCAGCGACGCCGCGUGAGGGAUGACGGCCUUCGGGUUGUAAACCUCUUUCAGUAUGGAACAAGGAUCCUUCUUUUGGGGGGUUUGAGGGUACGUGCAGAAGAAGCGCCGGCUAACUACGUG
This 481-nucleotide ribosomal RNA is filed under the name uncultured bacterium. RNAcentral's name for it is "partial 16S ribosomal RNA". It matches the Rfam family "Bacterial small subunit ribosomal RNA", at positions 28 to 507 of the family's 1533-position model. The record is from RNAcentral.